Molecule: ribosomal RNA, 762 nt
Filed under: uncultured bacterium
Lineage: Bacteria
Description: bacterial SSU rRNA
Rfam family: Bacterial small subunit ribosomal RNA
Source: RNAcentral
GCCGCGUGGAGGANGAAGGCUUUCGAGUCGUAAACUCCUGUCCUCGGGGACGAAGGAAGUGACGGUACCCGGGGAGGAAGCCCCGGCUAACUCCGUGCCAGCAGCCGCGGUAAUACGGGGGGGGGCAAGCGUUGUUCGGAAUUACUGGGCGUAAAGGGCGCGUAGGCGGCCCCAGAAGUUUUGGGUGAAAGUCCUCGGCUCAACCGAGGAAUGGCCUGGAAAACCAUGGGGCUGGAGUGCUGGAGAGGCCGGCGGAAUUCCUGGUGUAGCGGUGAAAUGCGUAGAUAUCAGGAGGAACACCCGAGGCGAAGGCGGCCGGCUGGACAGACACUGACGCCGAGGCGCGAAAGCUAGGGGAGCAAACGGGAUUAGAUACCCCGGUAGUCCUAGCCGUAAACGAUGGGCACUUGGUGUGGGGGGNNUAGAAGUCCCUCCGUGCCGGCGAUAACUCGUUAAGUGCCCCGCCUGGGGAGUACGAUCGCAAGAUUGAAACUCAAAGGAAUUGACGGGGGCCCGCACAAGCGGUGGAGCAUGUGGUUUAAUUCGACGCAACGCGAAGAACCUUACCGGGGUUUGAACUGCAGUCGGCAGCGGCAGAGAUGUCGUGUUUUCUUCGGAAACGGCUGCGGAGGUGCUGCAUGGCUGUCGUCAGCUCGUGUCGUGAGAUGUUGGGUUAAGUCCCGCAACGAGCGCAACCCUUGUCUGUAGUUGCCAUCAGGUCGAGCUGGGCACCCUACGGAGACUGUCGGCGAAAAGCCGGAG